AAUGAACGUUGGCGGCGUGGAUUAGGCAUGCAAGUCGAGCGAGAAUUUGCUAGUUGAAACUUCGGUCGAUGCUAGUGGAGGACAGCGGCGAACGGGAGAGUAACGCGUGGAGUACCUGCCCUUAAGUUCGGGAUAGCUGCGGGAAACUGCAGGUAAUACCGGAUAAUGUCUUCGGACCAAAGGUGUGAUUCCGCUUAAGGAUGGCUCCGCGUCCUAUUAGCUUGUUGGCGAGGUAACGGCUCACCAAGGCUACGAUGGGUACCGGGUGUGAGAGCAUGACCCGGCUCACUGGGACUGAGACACUGCCCAGACACCUACGGGUGGCUG
RNAcentral lists this ribosomal RNA (327 nucleotides) under uncultured Planctomycetota bacterium. RNAcentral's name for it is "bacterial SSU rRNA". It matches the Rfam family "Bacterial small subunit ribosomal RNA", at positions 29 to 351 of the family's 1533-position model. The record is from RNAcentral. Lineage: Bacteria; Pseudomonadati; Planctomycetota.